This is a long non-coding RNA of Cyprinus carpio carpio, 968 nucleotides long. The record is from Ensembl. Lineage: Eukaryota; Metazoa; Chordata; Actinopteri; Cypriniformes; Cyprinidae.
GACUUCCUUUUCGGACUAAGCUGAAAUCAUGGACGCCAGCCGCGUGCAGCCCAUCAAACUCGCUAGAGUAAGAAAAAAUAAUUUAACGAAUAUUCCCGGUUGAAUCAUGUAUUAUAAUAAGCGUUACUAAAGUGCUGGGAAGAACCGGCUCCCAGGGACAGUGUACCCAGGUGCGCGUUGAGUUCAUGGAUGACAGCAAUAGAUCCAUCAUCAGGAACGUGAAGGGCCCAGUAAGAGAAGGAGAUGUCCUGACACUUCUGGAGUCUGAAAGAGAGGCCAGGAGGCUUCGCUAGUGCACAUGUGAAGACCUGCAUUGGCCAAAGCAUCAACAUCAGCUCUACAGUUGGCAGUACAAUAUCAUUUGUGCGCAGUUUGAAAUAAAGUGUCUUUGUGAAUAAGUUGGUCUCCUCCUCAAUUUGUUUUUAUUAUGAAUAAUGUUUAAUUUUAUCUUGAGUUUUACGAUUGCUAUAAAGUACUAAUGGCACGUUUCCCCAGUUUAAUGUGAGAUACAGUCAGAUCCAAACCAGAUCAAAGCAAUUCAAUUUUGUGUACUCUAGAAUUUAGAUGUCAAGUGAUUUGUGUGUGUAUAGAGUGAGAUUUCAAACUAUGUAUCUGAUUCUGAAUCCCAACUAAAUAUCAACUGUAUUGGGCUUUAAACAGGGUAUCUGCGGGUCCUUAAAAAUUCUUUAAAUAUUUUUGGUCACAUUACCGCUAAAAUAUCUGAAGUCUGAUGGAGCUAAUGACUGUUUACAAUCAUUGGAAAGACCCUCGCGGUAGUUACUGCAUCAUCAGCAAGAAUGGCAGUAGCAGAAUACAGGUCGAACUACCUUCUUAAUUUACUCAAUAAUAGUAGUAAUAAUAAUAAUAUAGGUCGAGCUACAGCUGAUGAGCCUUCUAGCUAUUUAUUUAGCUGGUUAUUUUUUUUACUUGCCUGUCCGGAAAAAUAGCCUGAUUAAAACAUAAGUGAC